UGUACAAAAACCUUUGGAGCAAAGACAACACAAUACUCCACAACGUCCACUAGAGGGCCACAUUAUCCAGUAGGAGGUGCACUACUCGUGCACUGUGUUCAACCAUUCAGUCAAUCACAAGUGCUGCUGUGAAGAGAACAAUUGUCAGACUGAAUGUUGAACAUCAGCUAGUUUCUCCUGUUGAUUUAAACCUUGUUGUAGAGAUGGAACAUUGGCUGUGGAUUAUUCUUGCUGCUCUUUUCUUUGAAAAAGAAGAAGUUCCCUCCUCCAGCUGGUCCAAAAUGCUGCUACCAGUCUGUUAACCAGGAGGAAGUGGAACUGAGAGAAGGUCAAAUCCAGAUCUAAGAGGAGACGGAGAGAUUCAGGGAGGAGCUAAGAUGUUACUGAACUAUAGAAGAGAGAGGAACUUCUAUAUUCAGCAGAGUUCAAUACACAAACCAUCAACAUUACCUUCAUUCAACAUGCUCUCAUUGGACUGUUAUGGACUUUCUCUACUGUUUGUCACUAUUCUAACAGGUGUCAGCUGUGAAGAACUCACUCCAGUCAAUAAUGAAGAGUCCAGUUUAGAAGACAGCCCUGUGACUCUGUCCUACACAUACUCUAAGACUAUAAGUCCUAGUGAUUAUUUCUUCUGGUAUCGACAAUAUCCA
This is a long non-coding RNA of Sebastes umbrosus (honeycomb rockfish), 650 nucleotides long. RefSeq lists it as uncharacterized. Lineage: Eukaryota; Metazoa; Chordata; Actinopteri; Perciformes; Sebastidae. The record is from RefSeq and is a predicted model, not a curated record. The transcript is spliced from 3 exons.